RNAcentral lists this ribosomal RNA (459 nucleotides) under uncultured bacterium. RNAcentral's name for it is "SSU rRNA". It matches the Rfam family "Bacterial small subunit ribosomal RNA", at positions 26 to 518 of the family's 1533-position model. The record is from RNAcentral.
AGAAUCAACGCUGGCGGCGUGCCUAACACAUGCAAGUCGAACGAGAAAGUGGAGCAAUCCAUGAGUAAAGCGGCGCACGGGUGAGUAACACGUGACUAACCUACCUUUUAGUGGGGGAUAACCUAGGGAAACCUGGACUAAUACCGCAUAACACUUACGAGUCAAAGCAGCAAUGCGCUGGAAGAGGGGGUCGCGGCCGAUUAGCUAGUUGGUGGGGUAAAAGCCCACCAAGGCGACGAUCGGUAGCUGGUCUGAGAGGACGAUCAGCCACACUGGAACUGAAACACGGUCCAGACUCCUACGGGAGGCAGCAGUGGGGAAUUUUGCGCAAUGGGGGAAACCCUGACGCAGCAACGCCGCGUGGAGGAUGAAGCCCCUUGGGUGUAAACUCCUUUCGAUCGGGAAGAUAAUGACGGUACCGAUAUAAGAAGCCCCGGCUAACUUCGUGCCAGCAGCCGC